RNAcentral lists this ribosomal RNA (337 nucleotides) under Pheidole mamore. RNAcentral describes it as "partial 12S ribosomal RNA". Lineage: Eukaryota; Metazoa; Arthropoda; Insecta; Hymenoptera; Formicidae. The record is from RNAcentral.
UUAUAAUUAAAAAUUAAUUAAUAAAAAAUUAAAUGAUAUCAUUAAAUUAAAAUAAUUUGGCGGUAUUUUAAAUAGUUAGAGGAAUUUGUUAGUUAAAUGAUAAUCCACGAAUGGAGGGUCCUAAUAAAGUUUUUAUAUAUUGUUGUUUAAAAAUUAUUUUAAAAGAAAAAUAAUUGUAAUAUUAUAGUUAAUUUAAAUUCAAAUCAAAAUGUAGAAUUUUUAGGUUUUAAUGAAUUACAAUUUAUUAUAAUAUUAGAGUUAUUUUUUUAAUGAAAAUAAAAAUAGCGGAUUUAAAAGUAAAUUUAAAAAAAUAUUUAAAUUGAAAUAUUAAUUAAAA